CUUAGGACGAACGCUGGCGGCGUGCUUAACACAUGCAAGUCGAACGGAGAUUAUUAAUGAAGCUUGCGAUUUAAUAAUCUUAGUGGCGGACGGGUGAGUAACGCGUGGGCAACCUACCCAUAAGCGGGGGAUAACAGUUGGAAACGACUGCUAAUACCGCAUAAGCUAUUAAGGUCACAUGACCUUAAUAGUAAAGGUGGCGAUUUUACAUUGCUAUCACUUAUGGAUGGGCCCGCGUCUGAUUAGCUAGUUGGUGGGAUAGCAGCCUACCAAGGCAACGAUCAGUAGCCGGCCUGAGAGGGUGGACGGCCACACUGGGACUGAGACACGGCCCAGACUCCUACGGGAGGCAGCAGUGGGGAAUAUUGCGCAAUGGGGGAAACCCUGACGCAGCGACGCCGCGUGAGCGAAAGAAGGCCUUAGGGUCGUAAAGCUCUGUUGUAAGGGACGAAUGUUUAUCUGGCGAACAGUCAGAUAAAGUGACGGUACCUUACCAGCAAGCCCCGGCUAACUACGUGCCAGCCGCUGC
RNAcentral lists this ribosomal RNA (529 nucleotides) under uncultured bacterium. Its description in RNAcentral is "bacterial SSU rRNA". It matches the Rfam family "Bacterial small subunit ribosomal RNA", at positions 23 to 518 of the family's 1533-position model. The record is from RNAcentral.